Molecule: long non-coding RNA, 871 nt
Organism: Cryptomeria japonica (Japanese cedar)
Lineage: Eukaryota; Viridiplantae; Streptophyta; Pinopsida; Cupressales; Cupressaceae
Exons: 4
Source: RefSeq, a predicted model, not a curated record
UUACACUAUGUGCUAUGAGCAACUUGCAGUUUUCUUACCUAAAAUAUUGAUGUGCAUUAUUUUGCCAGUCUGUGAUUGGUGUUGACGAAGGCUGGCUCUGCAUUCCCAGAACCCAACACAAGAGAACACACAUUGUGCGAGGUCAUGGGCAGUGUAUAACAGAUUAUCGUCGGGUUUGAACGCACGUUCUGUGAGGUCCUAGGCAGUGCAUAACAGAUUGUCGUCGUGUUUCAAAGACAACUGUCCUACAUUUGAACAAUAUGUGGGAGCAAAGAAUGCAUACAGAUGUUUUCUUCAAUGAAACAAAUGUGCAGUCUAGUAUGAAAUUAAAAAAUAGAGCAUCGAAAAAAAAGGGCAAAGACGUUUCAAAUAAACUUUCAAUGAUAGUGGCCAAGAAUUGAGAGCAUUCAAACAAGGUUUAUACUUUCAAGGCCAAACCCCUAGAGCACUUCAACAAAUUAAGAGACCAAUAUGCAUCGGUUGGCUUCUGCCCAAGCCCUGGAACAAUAGAAUGAUUGUGCACGGAUCUGAAAAUUGAGAUAAUGGAUGUCAAACUCCUCAUGCUUGCUUGGAAGAUGUGAGCUGCACGACAAGGAUAUUUUACUUUGGAGGAGUGGCACAGAGGCCUUCAAUCAUUGAAAGUCAAUACCAUUGAUAAGUUGAAGAAUUCACUUCCUGCAUUAGAGCAAGAGGUGAAAGUCAAUACCAUGUAUAUGAGAUCACAUAGGAAGUCAUAUAUAUAGGCAUGUGAAAAUGUUGAAUCUGGCUCAUUCCUUAAGUGGAGUAAUAUCUUUUGUUCCCAGUCUGAUGAUUAUUUUGUUGUAUUUAACAUUGUUAAGGUUAUGCAUUCCCAAAACUUCUGGGACUUUUA